AGAAUCAACGCUGGCGGCGUGCCUAACACAUGCAAGUCGCACGAGAAAGGGGAGCAAUCCCUGAGUACAGUGGCGCACGGGUGAGUAACACGUGAAUGAUCUACCUCCGAGUGGGGAAUAACUGAGAGAAAUCUUGGCUAAUACCGCAUAAUACCCACGGGUCAAAGCAGCAAUGCGCUUGGAGAGGAGUUCGCGGCCGAUUAGCUAGUUGGCGGGUAAUGGCCCACCAAGGCGAUGAUCGGUA
Molecule: ribosomal RNA, 244 nt
Filed under: uncultured bacterium
Lineage: Bacteria
Description: partial small subunit ribosomal RNA
Rfam family: Bacterial small subunit ribosomal RNA
Source: RNAcentral